AUUGAACGCUAGCGGGAUGCCUUACACAUGCAAGUCGAACGGAGUGGCGAACGGGUGAGUAAUGUAUCGGAACGUGCCCAGUAGAGGGGGAUAACUACGCGAAAGCGUAGCUAAUACCGCAUACUAUUUGAGCGGCCGAUCUCGGAUUAGCUAGUUGGGUGGGUAACGGCUCACCCAGGCGACGAUCCGGAGCUGGUUUGAGGGGACGACCAGCCACACUGGGACGGAGACACGGCCCAGACUCCGACGGGAGUCAGCAGUGGGGAAUUUUGGACAAUGGGGUAAACCCUGAUCCAGCCAUCCCGCGUGUGCAAUGAAGGCCUUCGGGUUGUAAAGCACUUUUGGCAGGAAAGCGGUACCUGCAGAAUAAGCACCGGCUAACUACGUGCCAGCAGCCGCGGUAAUUC
RNAcentral lists this ribosomal RNA (407 nucleotides) under uncultured bacterium. RNAcentral describes it as "partial 16S ribosomal RNA". It matches the Rfam family "Bacterial small subunit ribosomal RNA", at positions 30 to 526 of the family's 1533-position model. The record is from RNAcentral.